UACGUAGGGAGCGAGCGUUAUCCGGAUUCAUUGGGCGUAAAGAGCGCGUAGGCGGCCUCUCAAGCGGGAUCUCUAAUCCGAGGGCUCAACCCCCGGCCGGAUCCCGAACUGGGAGGCUCGAGUUCGGUAGAGGCAGGCGGAAUUCCCGGUGUAGCGGUGGAAUGCGCAGAUAUCGGGAAGAACACCGAUGGCGAAGGCAGCCUGCUGGGCCGCAACUGACGCUGAGGCGCGAAAGCUAGGGGAGCGAACAGGAUUAGAUACCCUGGUAGUCCUAGCCGUAAACGAUGGAUACUAGGUGUGGGGGGCUCCGCCCUCCGUGCCGCAGCCAACGCAUUAAGUAUCCCGCCUGGGGAGUACGGCCGCAAGGCUAAA
RNAcentral lists this ribosomal RNA (372 nucleotides) under uncultured bacterium. Its description in RNAcentral is "bacterial SSU rRNA". It matches the Rfam family "Bacterial small subunit ribosomal RNA", at positions 524 to 898 of the family's 1533-position model. The record is from RNAcentral.